UGAACGCUGGCGGCGUGCCUAACCCAUGUAAGUCGAGCGAUCUGUUCGCAAGGAUAGAGAGCGGCGGAAGGGUGAGUAACACGUAGGAGACCUACCUUGGCGCAGGGAACAACUUCGCGAAAGCGGAGCUAAUACCCAAGAGGCUCGAUGAUUCAGUUUGUCGAGGAGAGUGGCCCCGCAAGGGGUUGCGCGCGAAGAGGGUCCUGCGGCCCAUCAGCUAGUUGGUAGGGUAGUGGCCUACCAAGGCAACGACGGGUAGGGGGUCUGAGAGGACGAUCCCCCACACUGGAACUGAAACACGGUCCAGACGCCUACGGGUGGCAGCAGGGAGGAAUAUUGGGCAAUGGGCGCAAGCCUGACCCAGCAACGCCGCGUGGAGGACGAAGGCCUUCGGGUCGUAAACUCCUUUUGAGGGAGACGAGCAAGGACGGUAUCCCUCGAAUCAGCCACGGCUAACUACGUGCCAGCAGCCGCGGUAAAACGUAGGUGGCGAGCGUUAUCCGGAUUCAUUGGGCGUAAAGAGCUUGUAGGCGGCUUGGUAAGUUGGACGUGAAAACCCCGGGCUUAACUUGGGGAGGCCGUUCAAUACUGCCGGGCUGGAGGGUGUCAGAGGGCAGUGGAAUUCCUGGUGUAGCAGUGAAAUGCGUAGAUAUCAGGAGGAACAUCCGUGGCGAAGGCGGCUGCCUGGGGCGCACCUGACGCUGAGAAGCGAAAGCUAGGGGAGCAAACGGGAUUAGAAACCCCGGUAGUCCUAGCUGUAAACGAUGGAUGCUGGGUGUGCGCGGAUCUAACCCCGCGCGUGCCGAAGCCAACGCGUUAAGCAUCCCGCCUGGGGACUACGAGCGCAAGCUUAA
RNAcentral lists this ribosomal RNA (854 nucleotides) under uncultured bacterium. RNAcentral describes it as "bacterial SSU rRNA". It matches the Rfam family "Bacterial small subunit ribosomal RNA", at positions 30 to 897 of the family's 1533-position model. The record is from RNAcentral.